Molecule: ribosomal RNA, 743 nt
Filed under: uncultured Staphylococcus sp.
Lineage: Bacteria; Bacillati; Bacillota; Bacilli; Caryophanales; Staphylococcaceae
Description: bacterial SSU rRNA
Rfam family: Bacterial small subunit ribosomal RNA
Source: RNAcentral
AGCGAACAGACGAGGAGCUUGCUCCUCUGACGUUAGCGGCGGACGGGUGAGUAACACGUGGAUAACCUACCUAUAAGACUGGGAUAACUUCGGGAAACCGGAGCUAAUACCGGAUAAUAUAUUGAACCGCAUGGUUCAAUAGUGAAAGACGGUUUUGCUGUCACUUAUAGAUGGAUCCGCGCCGCAUUAGCUAGUUGGUAAGGUAACGGCUUACCAAGGCAACGAUGCGUAGCCGACCUGAGAGGGUGAUCGGCCACACUGGAACUGAGACACGGUCCAGACUCCUACGGGAGGCAGCAGUAGGGAAUCUUCCGCAAUGGGCGAAAGCCUGACGGAGCAACGCCGCGUGAGUGAUGAAGGUCUUCGGAUCGUAAAACUCUGUUAUUAGGGAAGAACAAAUGUGUAAGUAACUAUGCACGUCUUGACGGUACCUAAUCAGAAAGCCACGGCUAACUACGUGCCAGCAGCCGCGGUAAUACGUAGGUGGCAAGCGUUAUCCGGAAUUAUUGGGCGUAAAGCGCGCGUAGGCGGUUUUUUAAGUCUGAUGUGAAAGCCCACGGCUCAACCGUGGAGGGUCAUUGGAAACUGGAAAACUUGAGUGCAGAAGAGGAAAGUGGAAUUCCAUGUGUAGCGGUGAAAUGCGCAGAGAUAUGGAGGAACACCAGUGGCGAAGGCGACUUUCUGUCUGUAACUGACGCUGAUGUGCGAAAGCGUGGGGAUCAAACAGGAUUAGAUACCCUGGU